Long non-coding RNA from Notothenia coriiceps (black rockcod), 114 nucleotides. RefSeq lists it as uncharacterized. The record is from RefSeq and is a predicted model, not a curated record. NCBI's taxonomy places the organism in Eukaryota, Metazoa, Chordata, Actinopteri, Perciformes, Nototheniidae. The transcript has 2 exons.
AGAACGUGAUGCUGGAGGAGGGGGAGGGGUACGCCAUCAUGCUGUACACCUGGAGGAGCUGCUCUCGAGCCAUCCCUCAGGUGAAAUGCAACGAGCAGCCGAACAGGGUGGAGA